Molecule: non-coding RNA, 336 nt
Organism: Gasterosteus aculeatus aculeatus (three-spined stickleback)
Lineage: Eukaryota; Metazoa; Chordata; Actinopteri; Perciformes; Gasterosteidae
Source: RefSeq, a predicted model, not a curated record
GUUGUUGCUGUGUUCUUUGAGGAAAAUAUAAAGUAGUAGACAGGCCAAACAACGAUGAACCGGUAACCGUGGUGACGGGGCCGAGGGAGCUGGGACAAGACGCUCUCGCAGCCGAAGAAGCUUCCAUCGAGUUGAUGGUAGUCAACAACAACAACAACAACAACAACCACCAAUCCGGAAAAUCCUCCGAGGUUUAUUAAUGAUGAUUGUAUUCCUCUGGUUAGAAAAACUAAAUUCAGGAAAAUCUGUCACUUUGUCUUCCAAUGUCCCCAAACUAUAAUAUCUCCUCUGCAGGUGUCGCACCCACAUCUCAGGUAUUCAAGUGAUUUUAAAUCC